RNAcentral lists this ribosomal RNA (284 nucleotides) under uncultured Mollicutes bacterium. RNAcentral describes it as "partial 16S ribosomal RNA". It matches the Rfam family "Bacterial small subunit ribosomal RNA", at positions 1097 to 1382 of the family's 1533-position model. The record is from RNAcentral. Lineage: Bacteria; Bacillati; Mycoplasmatota; Mollicutes.
CGCAACCCUCAUUGUUAGUUACUACCACUCAGUUGAGGACUCUAAUGAGACUGCCAACGAUAAGUUGGAGGAAGGUGGGGAUGACGUCAAAUCAUCAUGCCCUUUAUGACCUGGGCUACAAACGUACUACAAUGGCCAAUACAAAGAGAUGCGAAGCGGUGACGUGGAGCGAACCUCAGAAAGUUGGUCUCAGUUCAGAUUGAAGUCUGCAACUCGACUUCAUGGAGGCGGAAUCGCUAGUAAUCGCGGGUCAGCAGACCGCGGUGAAUACGUUCCCGGGUUUU